Molecule: long non-coding RNA, 496 nt
Filed under: Brachypodium distachyon (stiff brome)
Lineage: Eukaryota; Viridiplantae; Streptophyta; Magnoliopsida; Poales; Poaceae
Description: long non-coding RNA (BDIS_LNC003314)
Source: RNAcentral
GGGAAGAAGAGAGGGGACUCUGGCGGCGAAAACGGCAGGCGGCGCGGAGAUUCCGGCUCCUUCCUUCGGGGACGAAGCCUGACAGGCAGGCCCGGUGCGGGCGGCGCCCGCGGGGCCGGUUAGGGCGCGGUUUGGCGCGGGCGAAGCUGGGCCGGUUCGGCCCAUUUGGCCGGGCCGGUCCGGUUUUCUCCCCUUUUUUUUUCUUUUAGCCUUUUCUUUUUCUCCUUUUCUCAUUUCUUUAAUAUCUUUUGAUUUGAAACUCUAAAAUGGUCCAAAUAAAUUCCAGAAAAUUUGUAAAAUCAUGUUUAUCAUGAUUCAACUUUUGGGAGUAAUUUCCCCUCAAAAUAAAAUACAUAAAAAUACAUUUUCCCUAGAAAUGCCUUUAGGGCUAUAUAACUAUUUAAAUAAAAUACGUUUUCAACUCCAAAUAAUUAUUCAAAUAUUAUGGGAUAGCUUAUUUAUGCAAUAAACCCCUUUUAUAAUUAAACCCUAUUGG